This is a long non-coding RNA of Physella acuta, 967 nucleotides long. RefSeq lists it as uncharacterized. NCBI's taxonomy places the organism in Eukaryota, Metazoa, Mollusca, Gastropoda, Physidae. The record is from RefSeq and is a predicted model, not a curated record.
GGAUCUGCUUAACAACGCAUUAUGGUCACAUAGCACUUAGCAGGAAGGUCUACAGUUUUGCCCUGUUGUACUAAAAUUCAUUGCUGGAGUAGAAAAGUCGAUUUUUUUCUGCUGUUCCUCCAGAAAUUGAAGAGUAGGUAGCAAAGCUGUAAACCUUUGCUCAAAGGGACAAUACAGUGCUGACAUGAACCAGAUUCUCUAGGUGAUUACAAUCCUUAGUACAAAGCCUCCGCCAGCGUUAUUUCUAGCUGACUCUCGCUAACUCAAGCUCCGAUCAAGUGUAUUUAAGUAGAUUCUACUGACUAGGCUGCACAUCUUUAGACCAACACCAUCAGGCGUGUGGGCUGUUCACCUUGACGUCACCAUAGGGAAAUCAACUUGUGAGAGAAUGCCGCAUUCAGAGGAGCAGAGCUCAACGGACGGGAAAAAGUUGAGGAAGAAAAGGAGCAGAUCCAGCAGUCCCAGAAGAGGGUCCUCAUGUUACGAGAACACAGACCAAGGAGUUCGGAUCGACGUGUACCUGGCCGUCACAUUGUUUGCCAUCGCUGUGGUGUUCAUCAAGAUCUUGCCCAAGUAUUGAGCUCCCACUGACCAGUCAGCUUCUUCAAUGUAACCUCCCUGUCCAGAGCUUAGACCCCAGUUGGACCGGCGGUGUUGUCGCUCAGCCAUCUUUGCUGGCUCAAAAAUGACUCAACGGCUUUAGCUGUAAAGGAAUGUAUAUCACUUUAGUCCUGUGUACCUGUAUCCGCAGCAUGCGACUUUUAAAAUAUGGAUCUCUUCCAGCCCACAUUUGAAUUGUUUUGUUUAAGGCCACUGCCUUGCCAACUGGCGACCUCUCUCUCGCUCAACGAUUCGUCUGCUGCAAAGUCUAGAACAAGUUGCUGAAUCCCUAUGUUGUCUAUACAAAUAAUAUUAUUGCUUCGUAGACUGAGUAUAAAUCAACUGUCAAUAAAACAGCUAAUAUGGU